This 1178-nucleotide ribosomal RNA is filed under the name Yersinia pestis. Its description in RNAcentral is "partial 23S ribosomal RNA". It matches the Rfam family "Bacterial large subunit ribosomal RNA", at positions 1 to 1212 of the family's 2925-position model. The record is from RNAcentral. RNAcentral also lists the same sequence under 1 other name. Lineage: Bacteria; Pseudomonadati; Pseudomonadota; Gammaproteobacteria; Enterobacterales; Yersiniaceae.
GGGUUGUGAGGUUAAGCGACUAAGCGUACACGGUGGAUGCCUAGGCAGUCAGAGGCGAUGAAGGGCGUGCUAAUCUGCGAAAAGCGUCGGUAAGCUGAUAUGAAGCGUUAUAACCGACGAUACCCGAAUGGGGAAACCCAGUGCAAUACGUUGCACUAUCGUUAGAUGAAUACAUAGUCUAACGAGGCGAACCGGGGGAACUGAAACAUCUAAGUACCCCGAGGAAAAGAAAUCAACCGAGAUUCCCCCAGUAGCGGCGAGCGAACGGGGAGGAGCCCAGAGUCUGAAUCAGUUUGUGUGUUAGUGGAAGCGUCUGGAAAGUCGCACGGUACAGGGUGAUAGUCCCGUACACCAAAAUGCACAGGCUGUGAACUCGAUGAGUAGGGCGGGACACGUGACAUCCUGUCUGAAUAUGGGGGGACCAUCCUCCAAGGCUAAAUACUCCUGACUGACCGAUAGUGAACCAGUACCGUGAGGGAAAGGCGAAAAGAACCCCGGCGAGGGGAGUGAAAUAGAACCUGAAACCGUGUACGUACAAGCAGUGGGAGCACCUUCGUGGUGUGACUGCGUACCUUUUGUAUAAUGGGUCAGCGACUUAUAUUUUGUAGCAAGGUUAACCGAAUAGGGGAGCCGUAGGGAAACCGAGUCUUAACUGGGCGUCUAGUUGCAAGGUAUAGACCCGAAACCCGGUGAUCUAGCCAUGGGCAGGUUGAAGGUUGGGUAACACUAACUGGAGGACCGAACCGACUAAUGUUGAAAAAUUAGCGGAUGACUUGUGGCUGGGGGUGAAAGGCCAAUCAAACCGGGAGAUAGCUGGUUCUCCCCGAAAGCUAUUUAGGUAGCGCCUCGUGAACUCAUCUUCGGGGGUAGAGCACUGUUUCGGCUAGGGGGCCAUCCCGGCUUACCAAACCGAUGCAAACUCCGAAUACCGAAGAAUGUUAUCACGGGAGACACACGGCGGGUGCUAACGUCCGUCGUGAAGAGGGAAACAACCCAGACCGCCAGCUAAGGUCCCAAAGUCAUGGUUAAGUGGGAAACGAUGUGGGAAGGCACAGACAGCCAGGAUGUUGGCUUAGAAGCAGCCAUCAUUUAAAGAAAGCGUAAUAGCUCACUGGUCGAGUCGGCCUGCGCGGAAGAUGUAACGGGGCUAAACCAUGCACCGAAGCUGCGGCAGCGAC